This is a non-coding RNA of Pelobates cultripes (western spadefoot toad), 239 nucleotides long. The record is from the annotation of a GenBank genome assembly. Lineage: Eukaryota; Metazoa; Chordata; Amphibia; Anura; Pelobatidae.
GUGCCCAAAAAUUCAGGUCCCCAUUGACUUCAAUGGGGUUUGGCUUCGGGGUCAAGUUCGGGCCAAGUUCAAACCCGAACUCAAACUUUUUGGAACUCAGGCCUAAAUUAAGUACAUCAGGUAUUCAGUGUUUGAGGUAAUCUGUUCAUUUUCAGUUACUCCACUUGUCCGCAAUGUUAUGUUUUGAUAUCCCUUUCUGUCACAAUGCCUACUUGCUCCAAAUUUGCUGCAGGCUAUCC